AUUGAACGCUGGCGGCAUGCCUUACACAUGCAAGUCGAACGGUAACAGGUCUUCUGCUGCUGACGAGUGGCGAACGGGUGCGUAAUACAUCGGAACGUGCCCGAUCGUGGGGGAUAACGAAGCGAAAGCUUUGCUAAUACCGCAUAAGAUCUACGGAUGAAAUCAGGGGACCGCAAGGCCUUGCGCUAACGGAGCGGCCGAUGGCAGAUUAGGUAGUUGGUGGGAUAAAAGCUUACCAAGCCGACGAUCUGUAGCUGGUCUGAGUGGAAGACCAGCGACACUGGGACGGAGACACGGCCAAGACUCAUACGGGAGGCAGCAGUGGGGAAUUUUGGACAAUGGGAGAAAGCCUGAUCAAGACAUGCCGCGUGAAGGAUGAAGGCCUUCGGGUUGUAAACUGCUUUUGUACGGAACGAAAAGACUCUGGUUAAUACAUGGGGUACAUGACGGUACCGUAAGAAUAAGAACCGGCUAACUAAGUG
Molecule: ribosomal RNA, 482 nt
Filed under: uncultured bacterium
Lineage: Bacteria
Description: partial 16S ribosomal RNA
Rfam family: Bacterial small subunit ribosomal RNA
Source: RNAcentral